Molecule: small nucleolar RNA, 81 nt
Organism: Neoarius graeffei (lesser salmon catfish)
Lineage: Eukaryota; Metazoa; Chordata; Actinopteri; Siluriformes; Ariidae
Product: small nucleolar RNA SNORD79
Exons: 1
Source: RefSeq, a predicted model, not a curated record
UACUGUUUAUGAUGAUUAUGACUUAAGACAAUGGGAAUCUCUCUGAAUAAGGCUGAAAGAUGUAUUUGUACUGAAACAGUA